AGGACGAACGCUGGCGGCGUGCUUAACACAUGCAAGUCUAGGGGGCCCAGCAAUGGGUCACCGGCGAACGGGUGCGUAACACGUGAGCGACCUACCUUGAGAUGGGGGAUAGCCGGCCCAACGGCCGGGUAAUACCGCAUACGCUCAUCGGGCUUCAUGGCUUGGUGAGGAAAGCUUUAGCGUCUCUAGAGGGGCUCGCGGCCUAUCAGCUUGUGGCGGGUAACGCCCACAAGGCUAUGACGGGUAGCUGGU
This 252-nucleotide ribosomal RNA is filed under the name uncultured soil bacterium. Its description in RNAcentral is "partial 16S ribosomal RNA". It matches the Rfam family "Bacterial small subunit ribosomal RNA", at positions 26 to 291 of the family's 1533-position model. The record is from RNAcentral.